RNAcentral lists this transfer RNA (74 nucleotides) under Scinax elaeochroa (Sipurio snouted treefrog). RNAcentral's name for it is "tRNA-Leu". It matches the Rfam family "tRNA". From Rfam's summary of the family: Transfer RNA (tRNA) molecules are approximately 80 nucleotides in length. The record is from RNAcentral. Lineage: Eukaryota; Metazoa; Chordata; Amphibia; Anura; Hylidae. RNAcentral also lists the same sequence under 4 other names.
AGUUAACGUAGCAAAGCCAGGCCUUGCUAAAGAUCUAAGCCCUUUCUACAGAGGUUCAAAUCCUCUCGUUAACU